Molecule: non-coding RNA, 86 nt
Organism: Nematostella vectensis (starlet sea anemone)
Lineage: Eukaryota; Metazoa; Cnidaria; Anthozoa; Actiniaria; Edwardsiidae
Source: Rfam
CCUUCGAUAGCUCAGUUGGUAGAGCGGGGGAAUGUAGAUUUAUAAUUGUGAUCUCUAAUUCGCUGGUUCAAAUUCGGCUUACAGGA